ACGGGCGUAGCUCAACUGGUAGAGCGCCGGUCUCCAAAACCGUAGGUUGCGGGUUCGAUUCCUGCCGCCCGUG
Molecule: transfer RNA, 73 nt
Filed under: [Candidatus Thermochlorobacteriaceae] bacterium GBChlB
Lineage: Bacteria; Pseudomonadati; Chlorobiota; Chlorobiia; Chlorobiales; Chloroherpetonaceae
Also listed under: 1 other name
Description: Candidatus Thermochlorobacteriaceae bacterium GBChlB tRNA-Trp
Rfam family: tRNA
About the family: Transfer RNA (tRNA) molecules are approximately 80 nucleotides in length. Their secondary structure includes four short double-helical elements and three loops (D, anti-codon, and T loops).
Source: RNAcentral